RNAcentral lists this unclassified non-coding RNA (270 nucleotides) under Hevea brasiliensis (rubber tree). Lineage: Eukaryota; Viridiplantae; Streptophyta; Magnoliopsida; Malpighiales; Euphorbiaceae. The record is from RNAcentral.
AGUUGACCAACCACACCCCUAACAUGUGUUUCCUUGUGAUUUGGGUCUAGCAUGGGAGGAAGCAUGGUCAAAGUCAUUCAGUUCCGCUAUCAUUAUUAUAUCAAUAGUAAUCUAGUUAGUGUCAGACAAUACGAUAAUGAUGCCCUUUUAGCCAAAACAAGCAUGUUUUAUUUAUCACAUUUUCUUGCUAUCGUGUUAUCACACUAACUAUCAAAUCUAUCAUUAAUGCUCCAAUGAUCCGAGCUCAAGAUAGAAUAAUUUAUGCUAUAG